This 520-nucleotide ribosomal RNA is filed under the name uncultured Entrophospora. RNAcentral describes it as "SSU rRNA". It matches the Rfam family "Eukaryotic small subunit ribosomal RNA", at positions 569 to 1085 of the family's 1831-position model. Lineage: Eukaryota; Fungi; Glomeromycota; Glomeromycetes; Entrophosporales; Entrophosporaceae. The record is from RNAcentral.
AGCAGCCGCGGUAAUUCCAGCUCCAAUAGCGUAUAUUAAAGUUGUUGCAGUUAAAAAGCUCGUAGUUGAAUUUCGGGAUUGACACAUCGGUCGUGCCUUAAGGGGUAUGAACUGGUGUAGUCAAUUUCUCACCUUCUGGAGAACCGCGAUGCCCUUAAUUGGGUGUCGCGGGGAACCAGGACCUUUACUUUGAAAAAAUUAGAGUGUUUAAAGCAGGCAUUUUGCUUGAAUACAUUAGCAUGGAAUAAUAAAAUAGGACGGUAUGAUUCUAUUUUGUUGGUUUCUAGGAUCACCGUAAUGAUUAAUAGGGAUAGUUGGGGGCAUUAGUAUUCAAUUGUCAGAGGUGAAAUUCUUGGAUUUAUUGAAGACUAACUACUGCGAAAGCAUUUGCCAAGGAUGUUUUCAUUAAUCAAGAACGAAAGUUAGGGGAUCGAAGACGAUCAGAUACCGUCGUAGUCUUAACCAUAAACUAUGCCGACUAGGAAUCAGACGAUGUAAUUUUUAAUGACUCGUUUUGGCA